RNAcentral lists this ribosomal RNA (165 nucleotides) under uncultured bacterium. RNAcentral's name for it is "partial 16S rRNA". It matches the Rfam family "Bacterial small subunit ribosomal RNA", at positions 355 to 511 of the family's 1533-position model. The record is from RNAcentral.
UAGGGAAUCUUCGGCAAUGGACGAAAGUCUGACCGAGCAACGCCGCGUGAGUGAAGAAGGUUUUCGGAUCGUAAAACUCUGUUGGUGGAGAAGAACGUUGGUGAGAGUGGAAAGCUCAUCAGGUGACGGUAACUACCCAGAAAGGGACGGCUAACUACGUGCCCG